Magnolia sinica is the source of this 482-nucleotide long non-coding RNA. RefSeq lists it as uncharacterized. The transcript is spliced from 2 exons. Lineage: Eukaryota; Viridiplantae; Streptophyta; Magnoliopsida; Magnoliales; Magnoliaceae. The record is from RefSeq and is a predicted model, not a curated record.
UACCCUAUUUCUCAUGUUAUCGAGAAAAAACCAUAGAGAAAAUGUGUGAGAAGAAAAAGAGAGCUCGGGAGAAAGGAGAGUAUCUGUGAGGGUUCAACAUCAAGUUCAGAGUUGAUCAAUCUAAGCUAGUACAUGUAGAAAUCAACAUUACUUCAGAUUAUUUUCCUCCCAUCACACAAUUUUUCUACAAUAAGUUAUGAAUAUUUUGAAGAUGCAGGGUACUACUAUUAGUAGUGGAGCAUGGAAUGUGGUUAGAUGCACGUGGAAUGUCAUUCUACAUAGGAUAAAUUUUAUUUUAUUUUAGAACUCUGAAUAUAGUAAUGUUUGGCUUGAUUUUCUUACUUCAAGUUAAGUUAAAUAUUUAUGCAUCAAUGUAAUAACAAAUUAUGUAAUUAGUUAUUUUAGUUUGUGUUUGGAUUUUAAAGUGUUGGGCUAUGGUGGGAGAAAAUGAAAUGCAUAUGAAAUUGUCAUACUUUAUUUUU